UACUAUAACUAAAAAUCGAAUGAGUGCA
RNAcentral lists this small RNA (28 nucleotides) under Bombyx mori (domestic silkworm). RNAcentral's name for it is "ovarian small RNA-21308". The record is from RNAcentral. Lineage: Eukaryota; Metazoa; Arthropoda; Insecta; Lepidoptera; Bombycidae.